CGGCGGCGGCGGCGAUGGAGGUGGGCGACCUGCACAAGGUAUGGGAGAUCCGCGCCCUCAAGAGGAAGCCCGACGAGCCCUCCGCCCGCGCCAUCCUCGACCGCAUCGCCAACCAGGUCCAGCCCAUCAUGCGCCGCCGCAAGUGGCGCGUCAAGGUCCUCUCCGAGUUCUCGCCGAAGAACCCCAGGCUGCUGGGGCUCAACGUCAACAGGGGCGUCGAGGUGAAGCUGCGGCUGCGGCCCCACGGCCGGGACCACAACUUCAUACCCUACGAGAGGGUGCUCGACACCAUGCUCCACGAGCUCGCCCACAUCGCGCGCGGUCCUCACGAUGCCCAAUUUUACAAGCUAUGGGACGAACUCCGCAAGGAAUGCGAAGAACUUGUUUCAAAGGGUAUCACUGGGCCAGGACAAGGGUUUGAUGGUGCAGGCCGGCGAUUAGGUGGGUUUUCAAUACAUCCACCUCCACCGUCUCUCCGGCAAGCUACACUAAGCGCAGCACAGAAACGGGCAAGGAAUGGAGCUCUAUUGCCAUCUGGUCCAAGAAAGCUGGGUGGAAAUAAUGAUAUCAUGAGUGCGUUGAGUCCAGUACAAGCUGCUGCUAUGGCUGCUGAAAGGAGAAUGCAAGAUGACUUGUGGUGUGGAUCGCAUGACCAAUCUGGCAUUGAUGAUUCAGAAGAUGUUGCUAUUCUUGAGCAAGCACCUAACCUCACAGCAAGGGAUAGAAAACACACGAAAGCCGGAAAAAACACAAAGGUUGUGUUUUCGAGCAGUUCUGCAGAGUGCAGCACUUCAUCUGGACCUCAAGUUGCAGCACCAGGGGAUUCCUCUUCUUGUAGGCCUACUGAUGCGGCCAUCAGUUCUCUGUGGGAGUGUAGUGCUUGCACUCUUCUAAAUCAGCCUCUGGCACCAAUAUGUGAAGUUUGUGGGACAGCGAAACCUAAAAUUGCAAAAGCCAAGUACACAACUUGGUCCUGUAAAUUCUGUACUCUAGAGAACAGCGUUGAGCUUGAGAAAUGUUUGGCAUGUGAUCAAUGGAGAUACUCAUAUGGACCACCUGUAGCCACAUAUGGUCCAAGCUAUGAUUGACAUUCAGUGAAAGCUACAAUAAUAUGGAUCACGCUUUUGCUCAGGCACCUGCUGCAAUGUCUAUAAAUUGUCUUAUUAGCAGCUGUUACUUAUGUUACCACUGCAUGUCAAGUCUACUGAGUUGCAGAAAAGAACAUCAAGCUUUAGCUUGGUACUCCAUCCAUGUAUCCAAGACCUAUUAAUGCAAGAUCAGUAUGACUUGUAAACCUGGAUGGAGGAAGUAGCCUUACUACAAUCUAGAGUAUUCUGUUUGCGUGGCUCCCAAUUUCUUUUUGGGAGCAUUGAUUCAUGGGCAGUGGGUAGUUUGUCACCAUGUAUGUUUUGGCAUCUUUCACUUGUCUAACUGGCUUUUGUGCAAGAAUGCCGCCAUAUACCUUCAGUGCAAUGCUGACCCUAGGCACACAGUUGAUGUUAUCGUUGUGGUCAUGAAAUCUAAUUUAGAUCAUGCAUAUGGUUUGCUGGUGAAUUAUGCUGGUUUUCACGAGCUUGGGAUUGACCAUUGCAAAAAAUAAUGUUUUUUAAUAAUUUUCUCCUCUUUCUGGUUGAAUAAUGUUUUGGUACAUCAUCAUAUUUGGCUUAGCUAUUAUUUAGCCUGUUAGAAGCUUAGUGAAUAAUGUUGCCUGAAUUUUCUCUUAUACCAUAAAAUAGCAGCUUUCAUUAGUGAAAGCACCAAUCCUUCUUGGAAAAUGCAGAUAUACAUUUAACCCUGUUGCCUUAGCUUGUACUGGUUCCGGAGGUGUUCCAGAAUCGAGUUUAAUUGGUGAACUUGCAGUUAGUGUUUCAUGUAGAAGUAGAACUUAUAAGGGAAAUACAUUUUUACAAAGAUAUAAGGUUGUUUAUUCACUAUGGGAAAUUGCGAUAUCAGCUUCAUUACUUUUUUUUGGGGGGUAAAGCUUCAUUACUUCAUUGAAUGCCUAGCUUGUGGUAGUCCAUUAAAUCCAUUCAGUGCCAUUGAAUGAGUCCAAAGCUCUAAAAUAUUCAACCAAAUAACUCCAUUCUCCUUCCAUGCCAUUAGGUUUCAAAUUUUCUAGCCUAUGUGCCAUCACUGUGUCCAUUUGGCCCCAAUGGUAUUUAUGUGUUGAUGCAUGGAAUACACUGGCAAAAUAGUCAUGUUGAUGCCAUAGAAGGAAGGAAUUUUAAAUCAGAUGGCAUGGAAGGAUCAGGCACUUAUUUGGGGCAUAUCAUGGAACUGAUAGUUAUUAUAUUUGUUCAUUCCCCAUAAAACGAUUAUCUCUCCACUGAUGAAAUAUAGUGUAGUUACUGUAUUUUCCAUAAAACCAUGUCUGCCCAAUACGUAGUUUUUGACAAAUCUGACCCUUUGACAAAACUAAUGCUUCAUCUAACCUCUCGGCAAAACUAUUUCGAAAUCUGACCCCUAGGUUCGGCACCAUAGAGGAUGGAGCCGAAGCUGUGCAGGUCGGCUCCAAGGGUUUUUGCGCCGAACCACUUGGAGGCACUCCCUGCUGCAAAAGCGUAGUGCCGACCUGUACAAGUUCGGCUCCAACCUCUAUGGCGCCGAACUCAGGGGUCAGAUUCCGAAAUAGUUUCACCAGGGUCAGAUGAGACAUUAUUCAGUGAGUCAAAUUUGUCAAAAAUACGCCUUGGAAAUUAUAUGGAAGUUAAGGGAGUAGUCUAAACAAUGUUCAUACAUAAGCUAGUUGGACAUAUGUGAUCAAGCCGAGUGAACAGUUGGUGUCAUUCACCUGUUCUAAGUUUCACACAGGGAUCUUCUCCCCCUACAUCUAAAUGGCAAGGUACUGCUGGUGGGAGGCAAAAUCCUGAAAGGCGAACUCGAGAGUCAAGAGCAGUCCCUGCACCUGAUGCGAACGCAGAGCAGGGCUAUGGUUCCAAAGGCAACAAGAUCCACCAUUCUGGGCCUCUGACCUCAUGCCCCCCCCCCCCCCUGGUAGUGUGAAGUUUUCCGGCGAACCCAGGCGGAGAAGUCCCGAGCGAGGAGGGCCCACAGGCACGAUGGAGAAGGGCAUCACGAGUGGCGUGCGCCUUGGGGUUAAAGUAGCCUUUGUGUUAUUUUCUGGAGAGGAAAGUUGAAUGAUCCAGUAAACGUGAGUUUACUCUUCUUUGGAGAUGGCAAGUUAGCAUGGGUUUACCUGGACAGCGAUGGGUGUCUUAAAGUGCGGCUGUUUUUCAAAAAAGUUGUGGGAAAGAACUCACAGAGAAGUUGAGUCAUUUGGAUUUUAGGACAGAUGGCAUGAAAAUCCGAAGAAUGCACGCGUGUGUGUGCAUCCAGGUGCUUCUCUCUAACUUUCAGCCUACUGACUUAUUGAUCCAAUGAUCCAAUGUACGUAUGGUGUGACCACUCUACGAAAUUAAUCAGAUUGCUUCCCUGCU
RNA transcript from Lolium rigidum, 3437 nucleotides. It is a transcript of the gene named DNA-dependent metalloprotease WSS1-like, with no coding region annotated. Lineage: Eukaryota; Viridiplantae; Streptophyta; Magnoliopsida; Poales; Poaceae. The record is from RefSeq and is a predicted model, not a curated record. The transcript has 7 exons.